AGAGUUUGAUCCUGGCUCAGGACGAACGCUGGCGGCGUGCCUAAUACAUGCAAGUAGAACGCUGAAGAGAGGAGCUUGCUCUUCUUGGAUGAGUUGCGAACGGGUGAGUAACGCGUAGGUAACCUGCCUUGUAGCGGGGGAUAACUAUUGGAAACGAUAGCUAAUACCGCAUAACAAUGGAUGACCCAUGUCAUUUAUUUGAAAGGGGCAAAUGCUCCACUACAAGAUGGACCUGCGUUGUAUUAGCUAGUAGGUGAGGUAACGGCUCACCUAGGCGACGAUACAUAGCCGACCUGAGAGGGUGAUCGGCCACACUGGGACUGAGACACGGCCCAGACUCCUACGGGAGGCAGCAGUAGGGAAUCUUCGGCAAUGGGGGCAACCCUGACCGAGCAACGCCGCGUGAGUGAAGAGGGUUUUCGGAUCGUAAAGCUCUGUUGUAAGUCAAGAACGAGUGUGAGAGUGGAAAGUUCACACUGUGACGGUAGCUUACCAGAAAGGGACGGCUAACUACGUGCCAGCAGCCGCGGUAAUACGUAGGUCCCGAGCGUUGUCCGGAUUUAUUGGGCGUAAAGCGAGCGCAGGCGGUUUGAUAAGUCUGAAGUUAAAGGCUGUGGCUCAACCAUAGUUCGCUUUGGAAACUGUCAAACUUGAGUGCAGAAGGGGAGAGUGGAAUUCCAUGUGUAGCGGUGAAAUGCGUAGAUAUAUGGAGGAACACCGGUGGCGAAAGCGGCUCUCUGGUCUGUAACUGACGCUGAGGCUCGAAAGCGUGGGGAGCGAACAGGAUUAGAUACCCUGGUAGUCCACGCCGUAAACGAUGAGUGCUAGGUGUUGGAUCCUUUCCGGGAUUCAGUGCCGCAGCUAACGCAUUAAGCACUCCGCCUGGGGAGUACGACCGCAAGGUUGAAACUCAAAGGAAUUGACGGGGGCCCGCACAAGCGGUGGAGCAUGUGGUUUAAUUCGAAGCAACGCGAAGAACCUUACCAGGUCUUGACAUCCCGAUGCUAUUUCUAGAGAUAGAAAGUUACUUCGGUACAUCGGUGACAGGUGGUGCAUGGUUGUCGUCAGCUCGUGUCGUGAGAUGUUGGGUUAAGUCCCGCAACGAGCGCAACCCCUAUUGUUAGUUGCCAUCAUUCAGUUGGGCACUCUAGCGAGACUGCCGGUAAUAAACCGGAGGAAGGUGGGGAUGGCGUCAAAUCAUCAUGCCCCUUAUGACCUGGGCUACACACGUGCUACAAUGGUUGGUACAACGAGUUGCGAGUCGGUGACGGCAAGCUAAUCUCUUAAAGCCAAUCUCAGUUCGGAUUGUAGGCUGCAACUCGCCUACAUGAAGUCGGAAUCGCUAGUAAUCGCGGAUCAGCACGCCGCGGUGAAUACGUUCCCGGGCCUUGUACACACCGCCCGUCACACCACGAGAGUUUGUAACACCCGAAGUCGGUGAGGUAACCUUUUGGAGCCAGCCGCCUAAGGUGGGAUAGAUGAUUGGGGUGAAGUCGUAACAAGGUA
Molecule: ribosomal RNA, 1506 nt
Filed under: metagenome
Description: bacterial SSU rRNA
Rfam family: Bacterial small subunit ribosomal RNA
Source: RNAcentral